Molecule: regulatory RNA element, 123 nt
Rfam family: Ribosomal protein L20 leader
About the family: This family is a putative r-protein leader autoregulatory structure found in B. subtilis and other low-GC Gram-positive bacteria. It is located in the 5' untranslated regions of mRNAs encoding initiation factor 3 followed by ribosomal proteins L35 and L20 (infC-rpmI-rplT).
Source: Rfam
AUAUUAAAGUAGAAGCAUCCCGCUUCUCACCUUACAACCGAGGUUCGUAGGGUCUUAUUACACAAUAUGUUUUUAAAAUUGUGUCUAUUAGCGGGUGUUUAUCACCCGCUUUUUAUUUUUUGU